This 560-nucleotide ribosomal RNA is filed under the name Babesia vogeli. RNAcentral's name for it is "SSU rRNA". It matches the Rfam family "Eukaryotic small subunit ribosomal RNA", at positions 500 to 1110 of the family's 1831-position model. Lineage: Eukaryota; Apicomplexa; Aconoidasida; Piroplasmida; Babesiidae. The record is from RNAcentral.
GUCUUGUAAUUGGAAUGAUGGUGACCCAAACCCUCACCAGAGUAGCAAUUGGAGGGCAAGUCUGGUGCCAGCAGGCCGCGGUAAUUCCAGCUCCAAUAGCGUAUAUUAAACUUGUUGCAGUUAAAAAGCUCGUAGUUGAAUUUUAGCGUGUUCGAGUUUGCCAUUCGUUUGGCUUUUUCGAGUUCGCUUUUGGGUUUUCCCUUUUUACUUUGAGAAAAUUAGAGUGUUUCAAGCAGACUUUUGUCUUGAAUACUUCAGCAUGGAAUAAUAGAGUAGGACUUUGGUUCUAUUUUGUUGGUUAUUGAACCUUAGUAAUGGUUAAUAGGAACGGUUGGGGGCAUUCGUAUUUAACUGUCAGAGGUGAAAUUCUUAGAUUUGUUAAAGACGAACUACUGCGAAAGCAUUUGCCAAGGACGUUUCCAUUAAUCAAGAACGAAAGUUAGGGGAUCGAAGACGAUCAGAUACCGUCGUAGUCCUAACCAUAAACCAUGCCGACUAGUGAUUGGAGGUCGUCGUUUUGCUGACCCCUUCAGGAACUUGAGAGAAAUCAAAGUCUUUGG